UGUUAGUGGAAGCGUCUGGAAAGGCGUGCGAUACAGGGUGACAGCCCCGUACACAAAAAUGCACAUAUUGUGAGCUUGAUGAGUAGGGCGGGACACGUGGUAUCCUGUCUGAAUAUGGGGGGACCAUCCUCCAAGGCUAAAUACUCCUGACUGACCGAUAGUGAACCAGUACCGUGAGGGAAAGGCGAAAAGAACCCCGGCGAGGGGAGUGAAAAAGAACCUGAAACCGUGUACGUACAAGCAGUGGGAGCACGCUUAGGCGUGUGACUGCGUACCUUUUGUAUAAUGGGUCAGCGACUUAUAUUCUGUAGCAAGGUUAACCGAAUAGGGGAGCCGAAGGGAAACCGAGUCUUAACUGGGCGUUAAGUUGCAGGGUAUAGACCCGAAACCCGGUGAUCUAGCCAUGGGCAGGUUGAAGGUUGGGUAACACUAACUGGAGGACCGAACCGACUAAUGUUGAAAAAUUAGCGGAUGACUUGUGGCUGGGGGUGAAAGGCCAAUCAAACCGGGAGAUAGCUGGUUCUCCCCGAAAGCUAUUUAGGUAGCGCCUCGUGAAUUCAUCUCCGGGGGUAGAGCACUGUUUCGGCAAGGGGGUCAUCCCGACUUACCAACCCGAUGCAAACUGCGAAUACCGGAGAAUGUUAUCACGGGAGACACACGGCGGGUGCUAACGUCCGUCGUGAAGAGGGAAACAACCCAGACCGCCAGCUAAGGUCCCAAAGUCAUGGUUAAGUGGGAAACGAUGUGGGAAGGCCCAGACAGCCAGGAUGUUGGCUUAGAAGCAGCCAUCAUUUAAAGAAAGCGUAAUAGCUCACUGGUCGAGUCGGCCUGCGCGGAAGAUGUAACGGGGCUAAACCAUGCACCGAAGCUGCGGCAGCGAUGCUUAUGCGUUGUUGGGUAGGGGAGCGUUCUGUAAGCCUGCGAAGGUGUGCUGUGAGGCAUGCUGGAGGUAUCAGAAGUGCGAAUGCUGACAUAAGUAACGAUAAAGCGGGUGAAAAGCCCGCUCGCCGGAAGACCAAGGGUUCCUGUCCAACGUUAAUCGGGGCAGGGUGAGUCGACCCCUAAGGCGAGGCCGAAAGGCGUAGUCGAUGGGAAACAGGUUAAUAUUCCUGUACUUGGUGUUACUGCGAAGGGGGGACGGAGAAGGCUAUGUUGGCCGGGCGACGGUUGUCCCGGUUUAAGCGUGUAGGCUGGUUUUCCAGGCAAAUCCGGAAAAUCAAGGCUGAGGCGUGAUGACGAGGCACUACGGUGCUGAAGCAACAAAUGCCCUGCUUCCAGGAAAAGCCUCUAAGCAUCAGGUAACAUCAAAUCGUACCCCAAACCGACACAGGUGGUCAGGUAGAGAAUACCAAGGCGCUUGAGAGAACUCGGGUGAAGGAACUAGGCAAAAUGGUGCCGUAACUUCGGGAGAAGGCACGCUGAUAUGUAGGUGAAGUCCCUUGCGGAUGGAGCUGAAAUCAGUCGAAGAUACCAGCUGGCUGCAACUGUUUAUUAAAAACACAGCACUGUGCAAACACGAAAGUGGACGUAUACGGUGUGACGCCUGCCCGGUGCCGGAAGGUUAAUUGAUGGGGUCAGCGCAAGCGAAGCUCUUGAUCGAAGCCCCGGUAAACGGCGGCCGUAACUAUAACGGUCCUAAGGUAGCGAAAUUCCUUGUCGGGUAAGUUCCGACCUGCACGAAUGGCGUAAUGAUGGCCAGGCUGUCUCCACCCGAGACUCAGUGAAAUUGAACUCGCUGUGAAGAUGCAGUGUACCCGCGGCAAGACGGAAAGACCCCGUGAACCUUUACUAUAGCUUGACACUGAACAUUGAGCCUUGAUGUGUAGGAUAGGUGGGAGGCUUUGAAGUG
RNAcentral lists this ribosomal RNA (1849 nucleotides) under Shigella sonnei. RNAcentral describes it as "partial 23S ribosomal RNA". It matches the Rfam family "Bacterial large subunit ribosomal RNA", at positions 327 to 2164 of the family's 2925-position model. The record is from RNAcentral. Lineage: Bacteria; Pseudomonadati; Pseudomonadota; Gammaproteobacteria; Enterobacterales; Enterobacteriaceae.